Molecule: long non-coding RNA, 461 nt
Filed under: Olea europaea (common olive)
Lineage: Eukaryota; Viridiplantae; Streptophyta; Magnoliopsida; Lamiales; Oleaceae
Description: long non-coding RNA (OEUR_LNC008545)
Source: RNAcentral
CUAGUUCUAGUUGUGCUUCUAAUCCCACAACUACUUCUAGUCGAGCACUCGAGCUGUUAAAUAACACAAAGAAGUCUCAGGCUGUCGACCGGACUGAACUUUUACGAUCGUUGAUUAUCGACAGUCAAUAGUCAAAGUCAACAUCCGCCCUAGCUGAAAGUUGAUGUUGGAUUCGCCCAUGGCUAUACUUCUUUUAGAAGAUAGUUUCACCAUCCCCUUGUAUUUUUCAUAGGCAAAAAGUUGGACGGCGCUAUAAGGUAUGAUCUGUAUCACCUAGAGUAUUAAAGAGGAAAAAACGAACAAAAAGUUACCAACAGUUUCAGUUCAAUGAAAUAUUUAACCACAUCUAGAAUCAUUGAAUGGCUGUAGAAAAAAACUCUUAUUUGACAAGGUGUGUUUCAUUGCAAAUAUGAAAUUUAUAUGGAAAGAAAAUAAAUUCUAGAUAAUUAAAUUGUCUAGAA